Molecule: RNA transcript, 3046 nt
Organism: Homo sapiens (human)
Lineage: Eukaryota; Metazoa; Chordata; Mammalia; Primates; Hominidae
Gene: SRGAP2D
Gene name: SLIT-ROBO Rho GTPase activating protein 2D (pseudogene)
Exons: 8
Source: RefSeq, marked validated
GUUGGCGGAGGCUCCUCCAGGGACUGGGGCACAGAUCUGCGUAGAAACGGGUGGCGGGGAAGAGAGGGGAGGAGAGCUCUGAGUGGGAAGCGGAGCCGGGGGCCUGGGACCCGUCGCGUCAGAGCCAGGCAAGUGAACCGGAGCAAACGACUUCCGAUCCAGUCUGCGCUGUUGCAGCUCCCGUUUGGGAUUUGAUUUGCAGCAUCUUUGAGCCUCUACGACAAAAAAACCGCGAAGCACGCCCAGCCCUCCCCCGGCACCCCGAAAAGCACCCACUCCCUCCCGGGGACACAGCUGGGCGCGUCCACACCCCCGCAGCCCCACACCAUGUUGUGCGGAAGGACUUCCACUCCCCGCCUGUGUCGUUGAUGUCAGACCCCAGGCCAGCCUCCGGGCGCUGCAGUUCUCCCGGCUAAUGCUGAGGCUGCGGCUCCGGCUCUAGCACAGGCACCAGCCGCCGCCGCACCCGGCCUCAGCGCCCACCGUCUGCAUGUGCCCGCCGUAGCCGUCUGCCCAGCCCGCAGCCCGCGCUCCACGGAGCGCUGGAGACCACCGUGGGGGGCCCCUUCUGCCCUCGAGAGAAGCGGUCUUGGAGGUAUUGAUUUAAGUGGUUGGAUUUUUUCCGUGGAUCUAUCAAUUCACAAUUCGAAUUUGGAAGAAAGAAGGAAAACAUGACGUCUCCAGCCAAAUUCAAAAAGGAUAAGGAGAUCAUAGCAGAGUACGAUACUCAGGUCAAAGAGUAAAGAAGUCGGCCAGCAGCUCCAAGAUGAUUUGAUGAAGGUCCUGAACGAGCUCUACUCGGUCAUGAAGACAUAUCACAUGUACAAUGCCGACAGCAUCAGUGCUCAGAGCAAACUAAAGGAGGCGGAGAAGCAGGAGGAGAAGCAAAUUGGUAAAUCGGUAAAGCAGGAGGACCGGCAGACCCCACGCUCCCCUGACUCCACGGCCAACGUUCGCAUUGAGGAGAAACAUGUCCGGAGGAGCUCAGUGAAGAAGAUUGAGAAGAUGAAGGAGAAGCACCAAGCCAAGUACACGGAGAAUAAGCUGAAGGCCAUCAAAGCCCGGAAUGAGUACUUGCUGGCUUUGGAGGCAACCAAUGCAUCUGUCUUCAAGUACUACAUCCAUGACCUAUCUGACCUUAUUGAUUGUUGUGACUUAGGCUACCAUGCAAGUCUGAACCGGGCUCUACGCACCUUCCUCUCUGCUGAGUUAAACCUGGAACAGUCGAAGCAUGAGGGUCUGGAUGCCAUCGAGAAUGCAGUAGAAAACCUGGAUGCCACCAGUGACAAGCAGCGCCUCAUGGAGAUGUACAACAACGUCUUCUGCCCCCCUAUGAAGUUUGAGUUUCAGCCCCACAUGGGGGAUAUGGCUUCCCAGCUCUGUGCCCAGCAGCCUGUCCAGAGUGAGCUGCUACAGAGAUGCCAACAACUGCAGUCUCGCUUAUCCACUCUAAAGAUUGAAAACGAAGAGGUAAAGAAGACAAUGGAGGCCACCCUGCAAACCAUCCAGGACAUUGUGACUGUCGAGGACUUCGAUGUGUCUGACUGCUUCCAGUACAGCAACUCCAUGGAGUCCGUCAAGUCCACGGUCUCUGAAACCUUCAUGAGCAAGCCCAGCAUUGCUAAGAGGAGAGCCAACCAGCAAGAGACAGAGCAGUUUUAUUUCACAGUAAGGGAGUGCUAUGGCUUUUAAAGAGCGUCAGCAUGCACUGCAGCACUCAAGGGAGAUUUGGAACUCAGAGUCCUUGUUAAGUGUCUGAAGGACAGGCGUUGAAUAUCUUAGAUACGAAUGUGGGCAUACUCAGAGACCAUCCCUACAGUUAAAGGUGCAAACAUUAAAAGUUGUAUAUGUCUAACAGGGAUCCGCCCAAGAGAAAGGAUGCUCCCAAGUAUACAACUAAGAAGAUUUUCUUUUUUAAGAAAUUUUUAACUAGCUAGUAGGCUUUCACUGGAAAGUUUCCUUCUCAGGCACAGGGGAUCCUGAAAGGGGAACUUCAUCUUUUAGUUCUUGGAGAGUACAUACAAAUAUUCAUAAUAACACAUAUUUUGUUUAUAAAAAUCUAUAAUCUCUUCUAGGUGAUAUGAUGACAUUAUUUUAUAACUUUUAUUGUUGGGAAACUAUUUUUUCUAAUUAUUGCUAAAACUUAAAGGAUGGGUAAUAUGCAGCAUUACUAUUUUGCACAUAAUUCCAAAACAUCGUAUUUUCUUAUUCAUGUAUCUCUAGUCUUCUUUUAGACAGUUGGACCCUUUUUUCUUUUUCUUUUUUUUUUUUUUUUUUUUUUUUUUUUAAGUAUUGUUAACAAUCCUUUGGAAGUCACUACUGGUCUUUGUGUGCUGCUUUUUAAUAAUUGAGUUAUUUUGAGCUUGCCAAGUAGGAUCUAUUGCCUGGACUAAAAUUUAUUUCCUAAUCUUCUGAUGACCAAGAAAGGAAAAAUUAAGUUUGCAGAUGUGAGAUGAAAUAUAGCCAGUGAAUAUGCAUACUGAUUCUGAAUGAAAGGAAUUAACUUUUCAGUCAAGAAACAGUCUGCAUGCAGUAAAUUGAAUUUUUCCUGCAACUGGAAUGAUUUGUUUAAUUCUUCUUUGAACACUGCCCUUUCUCCAGUAAGAACACUAAUGAUUUGCUAAUAUUUUUUAAAGAAAUCUGUUUUUUUAAUUAGUUAAGCUCAGACUUCCUCUUAUUUUUUAUCCUAGAGAAAACUGCUAAAAGGGAAUGAUAUAUCAGUACUAUUCUUCUAAAACAACUUUUUAAAAAUGAUUAUACAAAGCCAAAUAUGCUCAUUAUAUAAAAUUUAGAAGCAAAAAGAAGGAAAUAAAAAUUUUCCAUAAUUCUACCAGCUAGAGAUAAUGGUGUUAGAAUAUAUUCCUUUCUAAUCUGUUUUCUAUGCAUGCACAAACACAUAUGUGAGCACAUAUUUAUAAUUUUAUUCUAAAAAAUAGGAUACUGCUGUACAUAUUGUUUUACAAUCUAAGUCAUAUAAUUAUAAUAUUCUUUAAGCAUAUUUAUGAGUAAAAUAUUAAAACCUAUACAAAAAAAUAAUAGAAUGGCA